This 379-nucleotide long non-coding RNA is filed under the name Brassica rapa (field mustard). Its description in RNAcentral is "long non-coding RNA (BRAP_LNC000483)". The record is from RNAcentral. Lineage: Eukaryota; Viridiplantae; Streptophyta; Magnoliopsida; Brassicales; Brassicaceae.
AAAAUAAAUACAGUUCUAGGGAAGAUAGAUUGAAACGUAAGAAAGUAUUACUUACUUCUGUUACUUUCAGGGAAAAUUUUCAUGUUUACCUCAUGUUUAUCACUAGAGACAUUUUCAAAAAUGCAUUUUUCAUUAAUAGGCAAAAGAUUCUUAUACUUUUGUUCUCUAUAUAUAUAAUAAAUAAAUACAUAAAUAAAUAAAUAAAUAAUUUUUUUAGAAUUAUACAUUUUCAAAUUCGAACUUUUUUUAUAAUUUUUUUAUAAUUUUGUUUUGAAUUAUUUUGAAUUUGUUUUUUGAAAUUUUUUGAAUUGUUUUUUUUUUAAAUUUAUUUUUGAAAAUCAAAAAUUCUUUUUGGAACUAUUUAAAAAAAAUAUUUUUU